UUCAGGCCGAGUUUGAUCCUGGCUCAGAUUGAACGCUGGCGGCAGGCCUAACACAUGCAAGUCGAGCGGAAACGGCAGUAUUGAAGCUUCGGUGGAUUUACUGGACGUCGAGCGGCGGACGGGUGAGUAACGGCUGGGAACCUGCCCUGACGAGGGGGAUAACCGUUGGAAACGACGGCUAAUACCGCAUAAUGUCUUAGAUUCAUUAGAGCUGGGACUUCAAAGGUGGCCUCUACAUGUAAGCUAUCGCGUUGGGAUGGGCCCAGUUAGGAUUAGCUAGUUGGUAAGGUAAUGGCUUACCAAGGCAACGAUCCUUAGCUGGUUUGAGAGGAUGAUCAGCCACACUGGGACUGAGACACGGCGCCCAGACUCCUACGGGAGGCAGCAGUGGGGAAUAUUGCACAAUGGGGGAGACCCUGAUGCAGCCAUGCCGCGUGUGUGAAGAAGGCCUUCGGGUUGUAAAGCACUUUCAGCAGUGAGGAAGGUCGUGUACUUAAUACGUGCACGGCUUGACGUUAGCUGCAGAAGAAGCACCGGCUAACUCCGUGCCAGCAGCCGCGGUAAUACGGAGGGUGCGAGCGUUAAUCGGAAUUACUGGGCGUAAAGCGCAUGCAGGCGGUUUGUUAAGUCAGAUGUGAAAGCCCGGGGCUCAACCUCGGAACCGCAUUUGAAACUGGCAGGCUAGAGUCUUGUAGAGGGGGGUAGAAUUUCAGGUGUAGCGGUGAAAUGCGUAGAGAUCUGAAGGAAUACCAGUGGCGAAGGCGGCCCCCUGGACAAAGACUGACGCUCAGAUGCGAAAGCGUGGGUAGCAAACAGGAUUAGAUACCCUGGUAGUCCACGCCGUAAACGCUGUCUACUUGGAGGUUGAGGUUUUAGACUUUGGCUUUCGGAGCUAACGCAUUAAGUAGACCGCCUGGGGAGUACGGCCGCAAGGUUAAAACUCAAAUGAAUUGACGGGGGNCCGCACAAGCGGUGGAGCAUGUGGUUUAAUUCGAUGCAACGCGAAGAACCUUACCUACUCUUGACAUCCAGCGAAGCCUUUAGAGAUAGAGGUGUGCCUUCGGGAGCGCUGAGACAGGUGCUGCAUGGCUGUCGUCAGCUCGUGUUGUGAAAUGUUGGGUUAAGUCCCGCAACGAGCGCAACCCUUAUCCUUGUUUGCCAGCACNUAAUGGUGGGAACUCCAGGGAGACUGCCGGUGAUAAACCGGAGGAAGGUGGGGACGACGUCAAGUCAUCAUGGCCCUUACGAGUAGGGCUACACACGUGCUACAAUGGCAGAUACAGAGGGCAGCGAGACAGCGAUGUUUAGCGAAUCCCUUAAAGUUUGUCGUAGUCCGGAUUGGAGUCUGCAACUCGACUCCAUGAAGUCGGAAUCGCUAGUAAUCGUGGAUCAGAAUGCCACGGUGAAUACGUUCCCGGGCCUUGUACACACCGCCCGUCACACCAUGGGAGUGGGCUGCACCAGAAGUAGAUAGCUUAACCUUCGGGAGGGCGUUUAGGCCUACU
This 1505-nucleotide ribosomal RNA is filed under the name Salinivibrio costicola. RNAcentral's name for it is "bacterial SSU rRNA". It matches the Rfam family "Bacterial small subunit ribosomal RNA". Lineage: Bacteria; Pseudomonadati; Pseudomonadota; Gammaproteobacteria; Vibrionales; Vibrionaceae. The record is from RNAcentral.